GACGAACGCUGGCGGCGUGCUUAACACAUGCAAGUCGAACGGAAAGGCCCUGCUUGCCGGGUACUCGAGUGGCGAACGGGUGAGUAACACGUGGGUGAUCUGCCCUGCACUUCGGGAUAAGCCUGGGAAACUGGGCCUAAUACCGGAUAGGAGCCAUUUUUAGUGUGAUGGUUGGAAAGUUUUUUCGGUGUAGGAUGAGCUCGCGGCCUAUCAGCUUGUUGGUGGGGUAAUGGCCUACCAAGGCGGCGACGGGUAGCCGGCCUGAGAGGGUGGACGGCCACAUUGGGACUGAGAUACGGCCCAGACUCCUACGGGAGGCAGCAGUGGGGAAUAUUGCACAAUGGGCGCAAGCCUGAUGCAGCGACGCCGCGUGGGGGAUGACGGCCUUCGGGUUGUAAACUCCUUUCGCUAGGGACGAAGCUUUUUGUGACGGUACCUAGAGAAGAAGCACCGGCUAACUACGUG
This 465-nucleotide ribosomal RNA is filed under the name uncultured bacterium. Its description in RNAcentral is "partial 16S ribosomal RNA". It matches the Rfam family "Bacterial small subunit ribosomal RNA", at positions 28 to 507 of the family's 1533-position model. The record is from RNAcentral.